Gossypium arboreum is the source of this 1199-nucleotide long non-coding RNA. RefSeq lists it as uncharacterized. Lineage: Eukaryota; Viridiplantae; Streptophyta; Magnoliopsida; Malvales; Malvaceae. The record is from RefSeq and is a predicted model, not a curated record. The transcript is spliced from 3 exons.
UCUAAGGCCCUCCCUAUUCUUAGAUGAAUAGUAAUGUUGUUGUUUGGUUCACUGUUUCUUCAUUCGGUCGAAUCACUUAAAGCAUUUCUAUUCCCUCAAAUGCGUAAUACGUAUUCAAUGGUGAUGGCUUUGAAUAGCCAUUUCAACCAUCACCGAAUAGAAAUAAAGAAAAUUCUUCAUAAAAUCUCCUUCACACUUUCUUUGCAAAUGCGUUCAAAGUUGCUUCUUUCAUCACAACAAUGCAUUUUCAGGUUCAAUUGGAUGAUGUGUUUGGGCAAAAAAUGAUAAGAUAUUUAGAGGUUUAUCUUCUAUCAAGAGACAACUAUUGUUUGAAGUCGGAGUUUGAACAUGGAAAUGGGUAGGUUUGUUUCGGUUAUGAAGAAAUGGCUGCAUAAUUGGAGAAAUUUAGAUAGAUUGAAAUAUGUUAACUAGUGAGGUGAAUAGAGCAAAAAGAUGAAGGUAGAAUGAAGGGAAUGAGUUUGAAGGUUGGGAGGAAAUUAUGGUUUUGUGGAGAGAAAUCAGAGAUUCUACUAAGGGAGGGUGAGAAGAAGAGUGCAACCAAUGUGAGCUGUUUACAUGAUCCUUUUAUGAUGGGACAAAUUUAGCUAUGUGUUUUAAGAAUGCUGAUGUAAAAGUUUGAAGUUCACCAGGUUGUGGUUCACGAAUCAAUUGCAGGGUCCUUGAACUAGCUGUGGGUUCGCGAUAUCGUUGGUUUCAUUGGAAAACAUGUCUCAAGUUUUCUAUGAGUAAUUUGUAAGGUUCGCUACCUAGGGCAUAAUAAAAUAUUAUUUUAUUGUUUGAUUUUGUAGAAUUGCAGGUAAAGUUGAAUGCAUUGAAAAUCAUGGUACAGUGGGAGUGACUAAGGGAGAACAUGUCUUCUUGAUGAUGGGUGACUACUAUUUGGCGGACAAUAAGGGAUGUUUAUAAUUACAUUUUCUAAUACAUGCAUAUAUGUGUAUAUAUUACAAGAACAUGUUGGACUGAGCAGACUAAAGCAGCAAAGCAAGGGAACGGAAGGGAACAAUUACUUCUUAUUCAUACAAUUGCUAUAUGCAAUGCUACGCUGCAUUUAUAGUGUAAAGUUAUGAAUGCAUAUGUAAAUAUACAUAAUAGGAUUUUUAUAAUCCUUAAUCUUUUUUAAAUGUAUAUGUGUGCAUAUAUUAUAAGUUUUGGGUUAAGCUAACUUCUUAGUUUUUGUA